This 623-nucleotide ribosomal RNA is filed under the name uncultured Gemmata sp. RNAcentral describes it as "bacterial SSU rRNA". It matches the Rfam family "Bacterial small subunit ribosomal RNA", at positions 285 to 916 of the family's 1533-position model. Lineage: Bacteria; Pseudomonadati; Planctomycetota; Planctomycetia; Gemmatales; Gemmataceae. The record is from RNAcentral.
AGCGGGUGUGAGAGCACGACCCGCGCCACUCGCACUGAGACACUGGCGAGACACCUACGGGUGGCUGCAGUCGAGGAUCUUCGGCAAUGGGCGAAAGCCUGACCGAGCGACGCCGCGUGAGCGAUGAAGGCCUUCGGGUUGUAAAGCUCUUUAGUGGGGGAGAAAAGCCGAAAGGUGUGAUCUAUCCCAAAAAUAAGCACGGGCUAAGUUCGUGCCAGCAGCCGCGGUAAGACGAACCGUGCGAACGUUAUUCGGAAUCACUGGGCUUAAAGGGAGCGUAGGCGGGCUAUCAAGUCUGGGGUGAAAUCCCACGGCUCAACCGUGGAACUGCCUUAGAUACUGACGGCCUCGAGGGAGAUAGGGGCAUGCGGAACUGUAGGUGGAGCGGUGAAAUGCGUUGAUAUCUACAGGAACUCCGGUGGCGAAAGCGGCGUGCUGGAUCUCUUCUGACGCUGAGGCUCGAAAGCUAGGGGAGCAAACGGGAUUAGAUACCCCGGUAGUCCUAGCCCUAAACGAUGGGUACUAGAUAGUAGACUAGACAUGGGUUUACUGUCGAAGCUAAAGUGCUAAGUACCCCGCCUGGGGAGUAUGGUCGCAAGGCUGAAACUCAAAGGAAUUGACGG